RNAcentral lists this ribosomal RNA (305 nucleotides) under Xanthomonas citri pv. citri. RNAcentral describes it as "partial 23S ribosomal RNA". It matches the Rfam family "Bacterial large subunit ribosomal RNA", at positions 740 to 1042 of the family's 2925-position model. The record is from RNAcentral. Lineage: Bacteria; Pseudomonadati; Pseudomonadota; Gammaproteobacteria; Lysobacterales; Lysobacteraceae.
GCAGGUUGAAGGUUGGGUAACACUAACUGGAGGACCGAACCGACUAAUGUUGAAAAAUUAGCGGAUGACUUGUGGCUGGGGGUGAAAGGCCAAUCAAACCGGGAGAUAGCUGGUUCUCCCCGAAAGCUAUUUAGGUAGCGCCUCGUGAACUCAUCUUCGGGGGUAGAGCACUGUUUCGGCUAGGGGGCCAUCCCGGCUUACCAACCCGAUGCAAACUACGAAUACCGAAGAAUGUUAUCACGGGAGACACACGGCGGGUGCUAACGUCCGUCGUGAAAAGGGAAACAACCCAGACCGCCAACUAA